ACUCCUACGGGAGGCAGCAGUGGGGAAUAUUGCACAAUGGGCGCAAGCCUGAUGCAGCCAUGCCGCGUGUAUGAAGAAGGCCUUCGGGUUGUAAAGUACUUUCAGCAGUGAGGAAGGGUGGGUAUGUUAAUAGCAUACUUCAUUGACGUUAGCUGCAGAAGAAGCACCGGCUAACUCCGUGCCAGCAGCCGCGGUAAUACGGAGGGUGCGAGCGUUAAUCGGAAUUACUGGGCGUAAAGCGCAUGCAGGUGGUUUGUUAAGUCAGAUGUGAAAGCCCGGGGCUCAAGCC
This 289-nucleotide ribosomal RNA is filed under the name uncultured bacterium. RNAcentral describes it as "partial 16S ribosomal RNA". It matches the Rfam family "Bacterial small subunit ribosomal RNA", at positions 335 to 615 of the family's 1533-position model. The record is from RNAcentral.